GACGAACGCUGGCGGCGUGCCUAAUACAUGCAAGUCGAGCGGACGAAUCGAAAGCUUGCUUUUGAUUCGUUAGCGGCGGACGGGUGAGUAACACGUGGGCAACCUGCCCUGUAGACGGGGAUAACACCGAGAAAUCGGUGCUAAUACCGGAUAACACGAAAUGUCGCAUGACGUUUCGUUGAAAGACGGCGCAAGCUGUCGCUACAGGAUUGGCCCGCGGGGCAUUGGCUAGUUGGUGGGGUAACGGCUCACCAAGGCGACGAUGCGUAGCCGACGUGAGGGGGUGAUCGGCGCCACUGGGAGUGAGACACGGCCCAGACUCCGAGGGGAGGCAGCGGUAGGGACUCUUCGGAGAUGGGCGAAAGUCUGACGGAGCAACGCCGCGUGAGCGAAGAAGGCCUUCGGGUCGGAAAGCUCUGUUGUUAGGGAAGAACAAGUAACGCAGUAACUGGCGUUAUCGUGACGGUACCUAACGAGAAAGCCACGGCUAACUACGUG
RNAcentral lists this ribosomal RNA (498 nucleotides) under uncultured bacterium. Its description in RNAcentral is "partial 16S ribosomal RNA". It matches the Rfam family "Bacterial small subunit ribosomal RNA", at positions 28 to 507 of the family's 1533-position model. The record is from RNAcentral.